UACGACAGGACGGAGAUGGAUCUGGUACUCCAACAUCCAAGUCAAUGAAUGCGUGAGAGGUAAUUUGAAUGUGUGAAUGAGACUAUACCUAAAAUGACACAUGUUGUAUUUUAUAUGAAACGGGCUGUUAAAAGUGUCUCCCCAAGAUCCAAUGUCUUGCGCCGGUGGUCGUCGAAUCUAAUCCAACAGGGAGAGUGUGUUGGAAGUUUGAAACACAUAUCCUCCAUGGAGAUAAGAACUCAUAUGUUUCAUGUGUCUUUCUUUUGUAAAGCUUAAUAUUGAACAUUUCAUCAUCGUAGAUGUUGCGAGCAGAAUAUAACAAAAUUAUAAUAACAAAGUAAAAUAAAGAGUAUCUCUUUUACUAAUAUUUAAUUAGAGUACACUUCAAUAUCAUUAUUAAAUAAACUAUAUACUUAAAAGAUGCUAAAGUUUUCUUUGAAAAUCAUGCUAGGGUUAGGGAGAAUAUAUACCGUGACCAUACAAUAUAAUCGGUACGUGAUUCUCUUUAAGAUAUUUUUAAUUUCCAGUUCGAUCAGUACAGUCUAAUUAAUGUUUAAAUUUACCCCAGCAACAACAAAAAUAUAUAAAUAAGAAUUAAUACAUGCAUGACAAUAUAGUGAAAAAGAGAAGAAUAAAGAUAGUAUAAGAAUUUUCAACACAUGGUUUCAAGACAUCAUAAGUAUUCAUUGUUCCUAUCUUAAAAUUGAAACAAAAGUUAACGAAUGUUAGUGUUCGGUUAUAAUCAUCCUAAAAGACAAUGAUAUUUGUAUAUGGUCUUUUCCUCUAUCUUUCUCCCACUGAUUUUCUUCUCCUUUUUAUCUUUUUUAGUUAGUGGUCAAUGAUUAUAUAUGUUUAUGCAUUUAUACAAUGUAUAAUUGUUAGGUGACAAUGUUCUUAUCAAAAAAAGAAUCAACAAAAAGUAACAAAAGGUGAU
RNAcentral lists this long non-coding RNA (934 nucleotides) under Lathyrus oleraceus (garden pea). RNAcentral describes it as "Pisum sativum (pea) long non-coding RNA (PSAT_LNC008694)". Lineage: Eukaryota; Viridiplantae; Streptophyta; Magnoliopsida; Fabales; Fabaceae. The record is from RNAcentral.